RNAcentral lists this long non-coding RNA (1083 nucleotides) under Oncorhynchus kisutch (coho salmon). Its description in RNAcentral is "lncRNA (ENSOKIG00005045572.1)". The record is from RNAcentral. Lineage: Eukaryota; Metazoa; Chordata; Actinopteri; Salmoniformes; Salmonidae.
GCCUGUGUAUGUUUCUAUCCUAGGUUUUGGUUGAGGGACGGUGUGAAUACAGAGAGGAGCAGGUUGUUGAGGGACGGUGUGAAUACAGAGAGGAGCAGGUUGUUGAGGGACGGUGUGAAUAGAGAGAGGAGCAGGUUGUUGAGGGACGGUGUGAAUAGAGAGAGGAGCAGGUUGUUGAGGGACGGUGUGAAUACAGAGAGGAGCAGGUUGUUGAGGGACGGUGUGAAUACAGAGAGGAGCAGGUUGUUGAGGGACGGUGUGAAUACAGAGAGGAGCAGGUUGUUGAGGGACGGUGUGAAUACAGAGAGGAGCAGGUUGUUGAGGGACGGUGUGAAUAGAGAGAGGAGCAGGUUGUUGAGGGACGGUGUGAAUAGAGAGAGGAGCAGGUUGUUGAGGGACGGUGUGAAUACAGAGAGGAGCAGGUUGUUGAGGGACGGUGUGAAUACAGAGAGGAGCAGGUUGUUGAGGGACGGUGUGAAUACAGAGAGGAGCAGGUUGUUGAGGGACGGUGUGAAUACAGAGAGGAGCAGGUUGUUGAGGGACGGUGUGAAUACAGAGAGGAGCAGGUUGUUGAGGGACGGUGUGAAUAGAGAGAGGAGCAGUUUGUUGAGGGACGGUGUGAAUACAGAGAGGAGCAGGUUGUUGAGGGACGGUGUGAAUAGAGAGAGGAGCAGGUUGUUGAGGGACGGUGUGAAUACAGAGAGGAGCAGGUUGUUGAGGGACGGUGUGAAUAGAGAGAGGAGCAGGUUGUUGAGGGACGGUGUGAAUAGAGAGAGGAGCAGGUUGUUGAGGGACGGUGUGAAUACAGAGAGGAGCAGGUUGUUGAGGGACGGUGUGAAUAGAGAGAGGAGCAGGUUGUUGAGGGACGGUGUGAAUACAGAGAGGAGCAGGUUGUUGAGGGACGGUGUGAAUACAGAGAGGAGCAGGUUGUUGAGGGACGGUGUGAAUACAGAGAGGAGCAGGUUGUUGAGGGACGGUGUGAAUACAGAGAGGAGCAGGUUGUUGAGGGACGGUGUGAAUACAGAGAGGAGCAGGUUGUUGAGGGACGGUGUGAAUACAGAGAGGAGCAGGUUGUUAAAGUAG